Molecule: ribosomal RNA, 1536 nt
Filed under: Klebsiella pneumoniae
Lineage: Bacteria; Pseudomonadati; Pseudomonadota; Gammaproteobacteria; Enterobacterales; Enterobacteriaceae
Description: bacterial SSU rRNA
Rfam family: Bacterial small subunit ribosomal RNA
Source: RNAcentral
UUGAAGAGUUUGAUCAUGGCUCAGAUUGAACGCUGGCGGCAGGCCUAACACAUGCAAGUCGAGCGGUAGCACAGAGAGCUUGCUCUCGGGUGACGAGCGGCGGACGGGUGAGUAAUGUCUGGGAAACUGCCUGAUGGAGGGGGAUAACUACUGGAAACGGUAGCUAAUACCGCAUAACGUCGCAAGACCAAAGUGGGGGACCUUCGGGCCUCAUGCCAUCAGAUGUGCCCAGAUGGGAUUAGCUAGUAGGUGGGGUAACGGCUCACCUAGGCGACGAUCCCUAGCUGGUCUGAGAGGAUGACCAGCCACACUGGAACUGAGACACGGUCCAGACUCCUACGGGAGGCAGCAGUGGGGAAUAUUGCACAAUGGGCGCAAGCCUGAUGCAGCCAUGCCGCGUGUGUGAAGAAGGCCUUCGGGUUGUAAAGCACUUUCAGCGGGGAGGAAGGCGUUAAGGUUAAUAACCUCAUCGAUUGACGUUACCCGCAGAAGAAGCACCGGCUAACUCCGUGCCAGCAGCCGCGGUAAUACGGAGGGUGCAAGCGUUAAUCGGAAUUACUGGGCGUAAAGCGCACGCAGGCGGUCUGUCAAGUCGGAUGUGAAAUCCCCGGGCUCAACCUGGGAACUGCAUUCGAAACUGGCAGGCUAGAGUCUUGUAGAGGGGGGUAGAAUUCCAGGUGUAGCGGUGAAAUGCGUAGAGAUCUGGAGGAAUACCGGUGGCGAAGGCGGCCCCCUGGACAAAGACUGACGCUCAGGUGCGAAAGCGUGGGGAGCAAACAGGAUUAGAUACCCUGGUAGUCCACGCCGUAAACGAUGUCGAUUUGGAGGUUGUGCCCUUGAGGCGUGGCUUCCGGAGCUAACGCGUUAAAUCGACCGCCUGGGGAGUACGGCCGCAAGGUUAAAACUCAAAUGAAUUGACGGGGGCCCGCACAAGCGGUGGAGCAUGUGGUUUAAUUCGAUGCAACGCGAAGAACCUUACCUGGUCUUGACAUCCACAGAACUUUCCAGAGAUGGAUUGGUGCCUUCGGGAACUGUGAGACAGGUGCUGCAUGGCUGUCGUCAGCUCGUGUUGUGAAAUGUUGGGUUAAGUCCCGCAACGAGCGCAACCCUUAUCCUUUGUUGCCAGCGGUUAGGCCGGGAACUCAAAGGAGACUGCCAGUGAUAAACUGGAGGAAGGUGGGGAUGACGUCAAGUCAUCAUGGCCCUUACGACCAGGGCUACACACGUGCUACAAUGGCAUAUACAAAGAGAAGCGACCUCGCGAGAGCAAGCGGACCUCAUAAAGUAUGUCGUAGUCCGGAUUGGAGUCUGCAACUCGACUCCAUGAAGUCGGAAUCGCUAGUAAUCGUAGAUCAGAAUGCUACGGUGAAUACGUUCCCGGGCCUUGUACACACCGCCCGUCACACCAUGGGAGUGGGUUGCAAAAGAAGUAGGUAGCUUAACCUUCGGGAGGGCGCUUACCACUUUGUGAUUCAUGACUGGGGUGAAGUCGUAACAAGGUAACCGUAGGGGAACCUGCGGUUGGAUCACCUCCUU